GAUGUACGCAUUCAUUUUCAGGAAAUUAUGCCAUUCCUCUGGCCUGACCCCAACCCAGAGGGCUCCGCCAACCGAUUCCAUCCACUUCUGGGGGUCAGGCAGCCCUGAAAGGCGACUCACUUAACGACAGAGAUUCAUGCUACGCAUCUCACGCCACCACAACUGUGCUUCUCCAGGGGCGAAGUGGCGUGAUCAGAAGAUGUGAUGUUGGAUGAGCACAAAAGCCACAAGAAUGGCCCAGUAUUUGCAAGAAGUUCCAUUUGAAGAUUUGUUUCCUUUCCAAAAUAAAAACAGUGACUAGCGUGUGGAGAGCGUUGAUGGGAGGGGAGGGUCAUUUUUGGUAAAUGGCCAAAAAACAAACAAACGCUUGGCCAGUAGUAAGACAAGGUGUGCAUCUCCCCUCUGAGCAGAAAGCACCAAGGUAAACAGAGCCAAAUCCAUUGGGGGGGUGUGUUGCAUUCUGCCUCCUAAAAUCCCCCCUGUGGUUUCCACUGGCUAUGGGAUUAGUCUUCCCUUCCUGUUCUCUAGGGUUGUAUAGUUGUCAUGAACCCCACUUGGGUCACUGGUGGGAUUUCAAACCAUAAACAGCAUUAAUGCUUAAGCUCAAAGACUAAAUCCAACAACUGGAAACCGGGGCAGACUGUGUCUUUUAUGUGGACUAGUCACCGGAGGGUGACAAAAGCCCCGCAGCCUACAAGCACGGGGUUACGUAGCAUUGCGGCAUGCUGCUACACCGAGACUGUGUCUAAUUUGUGUAUCCGUUUGUCAUGUGUCCUGGGACCCUAUGGAAUGAAAGACUCUAUUGGCUGAGUAAGUUCUUACUGUCCUGGCUGCUGCUGGGUGAGAUGUGUAUUAAAAAUAUGAAUUUGA
Non-coding RNA from Chelonoidis abingdonii (Abingdon island giant tortoise), 870 nucleotides. The record is from RefSeq and is a predicted model, not a curated record. NCBI's taxonomy places the organism in Eukaryota, Metazoa, Chordata, Testudines, Testudinidae.